UACGUAGGGACCAAGCGUUGUUCGGAUUUACUGGGCGUAAAGGGCGCGUAGGCGGCAAUUCAAGUCAUCUGUGAAAUCUCCGGGCUUAACUCGGAACGGUCAGAUGAUACUGCUUUGCUAGAGUGCGGAAGGGGCAAUCGGGAUUCUCGGUGUAGCGGUGAAAUGCGUAGAUAUCGAGAGGAACACCAGAGGUGAAGACGGGUUGCUGGGCCGACACUGACGCUGACAGCGCGAAAGCCAGGGGAGCAAACGGG
Molecule: ribosomal RNA, 254 nt
Filed under: uncultured bacterium
Lineage: Bacteria
Description: partial 16S ribosomal RNA
Rfam family: Bacterial small subunit ribosomal RNA
Source: RNAcentral